GUAGCUUUUAUUAUGAUUUGGAAUCUUCUCCAAAGGUUUUGUCCCUAAGAACUUGUUUUGAAAUAUAUGGCCUUUGUCUCUUGGUCGGUUAGUUUUCUGUCAAUUUCUCAAUCGAAAGACACAUAACACAAUGUUGUGAAACAGGUUUUACAGUAGUCAAUCCCUUUAUGGUGUAAAUAAAAGUCAUCAUGAAAUGUUUAAUUGUAGCAUUCUGUGCACACAUCUUCAAUGCAUAUGAAAAAGGAAUUUGUUAAAGUAAUGAAUAGCCAAUUUCAUCCAUUUUGUUCUUGUAUUAAGGUGAAUCCAUUGCUGCAGACUCAUUGUCCCAUCAGGCCUUCUGCUCCACCCCUCCUGGUGGCAGUCCAAUGACUGGUGACCUUUUUAACAGGAGUAUAUUUGGUCCUGCAUUUCACUCACUUAAGGAGAUGUAUUUUUUCCUGCUGUCAUCCAAUUCUUAAAAAAAGAGAAUAUAUGUCCAGCAACCACCUCUGUGAUCUGAUCUCUUGUCUCCAAUACCUCAAAGCAAUUACCAACGUUGGACCCAUAUUUUAAUUUUUUUUAUGUGUCACUUUGUGGUAGUUCACUGUGACCUCUGGGUAGUGACUGUAGUAGCCAGCCAUGCUAAGACACCUGACCACUGUAUCAGCAUGAAGACACAGGAGACCAGGAAUGCUGUCAGAGUGCCCUUGCUGUUGCUGUGUUUUGCUCUUUUCAACAGUGCAAAACUAAAUGCACUCUCAGUCCCCUCCCAAAACAUCAACAGCCCUGAAGACUGCUGAAUCACAGAAUGCUUAAUGACUGAUUUACAGCUUCCAGUUAUGAACUUUUGCCUUGAACUCCCUGUUGACUGAGUUCUGGCUGUUUAAGCCCCUCCCCAUAACAGCCUUUCUUCUUGUGUGGAUUCUAAAUAGGGAAAUUGAGAACCUGUGAGAAAAUAUAAAAAAAAGAGAAUUAUGCAUAACAGCUGAUACAGUGCUUUCUUAUAAAUUUUUAUGUGUUGUGUUUGUUCAUUUAAUGUGCAUAAGGAGUAGGUUGUCUUCUCAUUCCAUCUGUAAUGUAUCCAUCCUCUAGAGACCCUCCUCCCCUACCAGAGCAAAUCACUUUUCAACUAUCAGUGGGUAACAAAAAGCAAAGGUAAAGUAUCUAUGUACAUUCUCACAGCUUUGAGCAAAAGUGUGAUUUCAUCCAUACAACGAGACGCACAUAACAAUUAUAACAUUUGAGCUUGGAUUGUUGUUAAUGUAUUGUUCAUAUCCUUGUUAUAUGAUAUAAUUUUAGUACUUUAUUUCUGCAUUUUACUUUUACAGUUAUAACUGUAUCAAAGCAGCUUGUCAGUCUUGCUACUACACGUAAAAAGAACAGCUUUUGUAAGGUAGGCCUACAUCUAAUCAACAGAAAAAUGGCAUAUUAAUAUAUUCACCAUGAAUGCGUGAAUGAUGACAUGUUGCAACUUCUGCUAGAGAUGCCUUCUUUAUAGUAAAGCUAUCUCGUUUUCUC
Long non-coding RNA from Esox lucius (northern pike), 1497 nucleotides. The record is from Ensembl. Lineage: Eukaryota; Metazoa; Chordata; Actinopteri; Esociformes; Esocidae.